This 463-nucleotide ribosomal RNA is filed under the name uncultured Lactobacillus sp. Its description in RNAcentral is "bacterial SSU rRNA". It matches the Rfam family "Bacterial small subunit ribosomal RNA", at positions 505 to 965 of the family's 1533-position model. Lineage: Bacteria; Bacillati; Bacillota; Bacilli; Lactobacillales; Lactobacillaceae. The record is from RNAcentral.
GUGCCAGCAGCUGCGGUAAUACGUAGGUGGCAAGCGUUAUCCGGAUUUAUUGGGCGUAAAGCGAGCGCAGGCGGUUUUUUAAGUCUGAUGUGAAAGCCCUCGGCUUAACCGAGGAAGUGCAUCGGAAACUGGGAAACUUGAGUGCAGAAGAGGACAGUGGAACUCCAUGUGUAGCGGUGAAAUGCGUAGAUAUAUGGAAGAACACCAGUGGCGAAGGCGGCUGUCUGGUCUGUAACUGACGCUGAGGCUCGAAAGCAUGGGUAGCGAACAGGAUUAGAUACCCUGGUAGUCCAUGCCGUAAACGAUGAAUGCUAGGUGUUGGAGGGUUUCCGCCCUUCAGUGCCGCAGCUAACGCAUUAAGCAUUCCGCCUGGGGAGUACGACCGCAAGGUUGAACUACAAAGGAAUUGACGGGGGCCCGCACAAGCGGUGGAGCAUGUGGUUUAAUUCGAAGCAACGACGAA